GGCUCAAAACAGCUCAAAUGGACGGUUGGCGAUUCAGUGCUGUCAUGAAACGGGUCCGUCCUCGGAUCCCAUGACUCUCAGGCAGACCCAAAUGUCAUCUAUGACUGCCUUUGGAGUGAAUGAAACUGGCUCUUCUAGACCAUCUUACAAAUGGCAAAGAGUGUUGCUUAAAGUAAGUGGAGAAGCACUUGCCGGAGAUAAUAUGCAAAAUAUUGACCCAAAGAUCACAAUGGCUAUUGCAAGGGAGGUUGCAUCAGUGACACGCCUGGG
This 270-nucleotide unclassified non-coding RNA is filed under the name Hevea brasiliensis (rubber tree). Lineage: Eukaryota; Viridiplantae; Streptophyta; Magnoliopsida; Malpighiales; Euphorbiaceae. The record is from RNAcentral.